UACGUAUGGUGCAAGCGUUAUCCGGAUUUACUGAGUGUAAAGGGAGCGUAGGCGGCGCGUUAAGUCUGAUGUGAAAACCCGAGGCUCAACCACGGGAGUGCAUUGGAAACUGGCGGGCUGGAGUGCCGGAGAGGUAAGCGGAAUUCCUAGUGUAGCGGUGAAAUGCGUAGAUAUUAGGAGGAACACCAGUGGCGAAGGCGGCUUACUGGACGGCAACUGACGCUGAGGCUCGAAAGCGUGGGGAGCAAACAGG
Molecule: ribosomal RNA, 253 nt
Filed under: uncultured bacterium
Lineage: Bacteria
Description: partial 16S ribosomal RNA
Rfam family: Bacterial small subunit ribosomal RNA
Source: RNAcentral